GAGUUACUAACUCAAUCUGGUAGAGUAUUCGGCUUUUAACCGACUAGUUCUGGGUUCAAAUCCCAGGUAACUCA
Molecule: transfer RNA, 74 nt
Filed under: Chromera velia
Lineage: Eukaryota; Chromeraceae
Description: tRNA-Lys
Rfam family: tRNA
About the family: Transfer RNA (tRNA) molecules are approximately 80 nucleotides in length. Their secondary structure includes four short double-helical elements and three loops (D, anti-codon, and T loops). Further hydrogen bonds mediate the characteristic L-shaped molecular structure. tRNAs have two regions of fundamental functional importance: the anti-codon, which is responsible for specific mRNA codon recognition, and the 3' end, to which the tRNAs corresponding amino acid is attached (by aminoacyl-tRNA synthetases). tRNAs cope with the degeneracy of the genetic code in two manners: having more than one tRNA (with a specific anti-codon) for a particular amino acid; and 'wobble' base-pairing, i.e. permitting non-standard base-pairing at the 3rd anti-codon position.
Source: RNAcentral